UACUUAGUGGCAGACGGGUGAGUAACAUGUAGGUAUCUGCCCUUUGGCCUGGAAUAACACGAGGAAACUUGUGCUAAUACCGGAUAAGUCUUUACGGAGAAAGCUUUAUGCACCAUUGGAUGAGCCUGCACUUGAUUAGUUUGUUGGUGGGGUAAUGGCCUACCAAGACUUUGAUCAAUAGCUGAUUUGAGAGGAUGAUCAGCCACACUGGGACUGAGACACGGCCCAAACUCCUACGGGAGGCAGCAGUGGGGAAUCUUGCACAAUGGAGGAAACUCUGAUGCAGCGAUGCCGCGUGAGUGAAGAAGGCCCUUGGGUUGUAAAGCUCUUUCGUCGGGGAAGAAAAUGACUGUACCCGAAUAAGAAGGUCCGGCUAACUUCGUGCCAGCAGCCGCGGUAAUACGAAGGGACCUAGCGUAGUUCGGAAUUACUGGGCUUAAAGAGUUCGUAGGUGGUUGAAAAAGUUGGUGGUGAAAUCCCACAGCUUAACUCUGGAACUGCCAUCAAAACUUUUCAGCUAGAGUAUGAUAGAGGAAAGCAGAAUUUCUAGUGUAGAGGUGAAAUUCGUAGAUAUUAGAAAGAAUACCAAUUGCGAAGGCAGCUUUCUGGAUCAUUACUGACACUGAGGAACGAAAGCAUGGGUAGCGAAGAGGAUUAGAUACCCUCGUAGUCCAUGCCGUAAACGAUGUGUGUUA
RNAcentral lists this ribosomal RNA (695 nucleotides) under uncultured Alphaproteobacteria bacterium. RNAcentral describes it as "bacterial SSU rRNA". It matches the Rfam family "Bacterial small subunit ribosomal RNA", at positions 89 to 818 of the family's 1533-position model. The record is from RNAcentral. Lineage: Bacteria; Pseudomonadati; Pseudomonadota; Alphaproteobacteria.